RNAcentral lists this ribosomal RNA (530 nucleotides) under embryophyte environmental sample. RNAcentral's name for it is "eukaryotic LSU rRNA". The stretch from base 111 to 266 matches the Rfam family "5.8S ribosomal RNA". The record is from RNAcentral. Lineage: Eukaryota; Viridiplantae; Streptophyta.
AACAACGUACCCCGGCGCGGUCCGCGCCAAGGAACAUGAACGAAAGAGUGCCUCCGGUCGCCUCGGAAACGUUGCGCGCACCGGAGGCGAAUCUUGUCUAGAACCAUAACGACUCUCGGCAACGGAUAUCUCGGCUCUCGCAUCGAUGAAGAACGUAGCGAAAUGCGAUACUUGGUGUGAAUUGCAGAAUCCCGCGAAUCAUCGAGUCUUUGAACGCAAGUUGCGCCCGAAGCCACCUGGCCGAGGGCACGUCUGCCUGGGUGUCACGCAUCGUUGCCCCCAACCCCAUCGCCCUGCAAAGAGGCGGUGGGGGCAUGCGGGGCGGACAUUGGCCUCCCGUGGGCUGAUGCCUGCGGCUGGCCUAAAAACGAGUCCUCGGCGACGAUCGCCACGACAAUCGGUGGUUGACAAACCUUCGUGACCCGUCGUGCGCGCAUCGCCGCUCAACGCGUGCUCUUUUGACCCUGUCGCGUCGCGCUCGCGACGCUUCCAACGCGACCCCAGGUCAGGCGGGACUACCCGCUGAGCGC